Molecule: ribosomal RNA, 245 nt
Filed under: uncultured Lachnospiraceae bacterium
Lineage: Bacteria; Bacillati; Bacillota; Clostridia; Lachnospirales; Lachnospiraceae
Description: partial 16S ribosomal RNA
Rfam family: Bacterial small subunit ribosomal RNA
Source: RNAcentral
UACGUAGGGGGCAAGCGUUAUCCGGAUUUACUGGGUGUAAAGGGAGCGCAGGCGGCAGGGCAAGUCUGAUGUGAAAACCCGGGGCUCAACCCCGGGAUUGCAUUGGAAACUGUUCAGCUUGAGUGUCGGAGAGGUAAGCGGAAUUCCUAGUGUAGCGGUGAAAUGCGUAGAUAUUAGGAGGAACAUCAGUGGCGAAGGCGGCUUACUGGACGAUAACUGACGCUGAGGCUCGAAAGCGUGGGGAG